This 485-nucleotide ribosomal RNA is filed under the name uncultured bacterium. RNAcentral's name for it is "partial 16S ribosomal RNA". It matches the Rfam family "Bacterial small subunit ribosomal RNA", at positions 30 to 507 of the family's 1533-position model. The record is from RNAcentral.
AUUGAACGCUGGCGGCAGGCUUAACACAUGCAAGUCGAGCGGAGAGGAGGUGCUUGCACCUUAUCUUAGCGGCGGACGGGUGAGUAAUGCUUAGGAAUCUGCCACUUAGUGGGGGACAACAUCUCGAAGGGAAUGCUAAUACCGCAUACGACCUACGGCAGAAACAAGGGGAUCUUCGGACCUUUCGCUAAAUGAUGAGCCUAAGUCGGAUUAGCUAGUUGGUGGGGUAGAGGCGUACCAAGGCGACGAUCUGUAGCGGGUCUGAGAGGAUGAUCCGCCACACUGGGAGUGAGACACGGCCCAGUGUCCCACAGGAGGCAGCAGUAGGGAAUAUUGGGGAAUGGGGGGAAACCUGAGCCAGCCAUGCCGCGUGUGGGAAGAAGGACUUAUGGUUGUAAAGCACGUUAAGCGGGGAGGAGGCCACUGAGACUAAUAAUCUUGGAUAGUGGACGUUACUCGGUGAAUAAGCACCGGCUAACUAUGUG